UUAGAGUUUGAUCCUGGCUCAGGACGAACGCUGGCGGCGUGCCUAAUACAUGCAAGUCGAACGAGGCUUUUUGAUUGAUGCUUGCAUCAGCUAAAAAGCCGAGUGGCGAAUGGGUGAGUAACACGUGGGUAACUUGCCUUGAAGCGGGGGAUAACAUUUGGAAACAGAUGCUAAUACCGCAUAACCACAAAAACCUCCUGGUUUUUGUGUUAAAGAUGGUUCUGCUAUCACUUCAAGAUGGACCCGCGGCGUAUUAGCUUGUUGGUGAGGUAAUGGCUCACCAAGGCAAUGAUACGUAGCCGAACUGAGAGGUUGAUCGGCCACAUUGGGACUGAGACACGGCCCAAACUCCUACGGGAGGCAGCAGUAGGGAAUCUUCCACAAUGGACGCAAGUCUGAUGGAGCAACGCCGCGUGAGUGAAGAAGGUCUUCGGAUCGUAAAACUCUGUUGUCAGAGAAGAACGUGCGUGAGAGCAACUGUUCAUGCAGUGACGGUAUCUGACCAGAAAGUCACGGCUAACUACGUGCCAGCAGCCGCGGUAAUACGUAGGUGGCAAGCGUUGUCCGGAUUUAUUGGGCGUAAAGGGAACGCAGGCGGUCUUUUAAGUCUGAUGUGAAAGCCUUCGGCUUAACCGAAGUCGUGCAUUGGAAACUGGGGGACUUGAGUGCAGAAGAGGAGAGUGGAACUCCAUGUGUAGCGGUGAAAUGCGUAGAUAUAUGGAAGAACACCAGUGGCGAAAGCGGCUCUCUGGUCUGUAG
Molecule: ribosomal RNA, 759 nt
Filed under: uncultured bacterium
Lineage: Bacteria
Description: bacterial SSU rRNA
Rfam family: Bacterial small subunit ribosomal RNA
Source: RNAcentral